Molecule: transfer RNA, 67 nt
Filed under: Euprymna morsei
Lineage: Eukaryota; Metazoa; Mollusca; Cephalopoda; Sepiida; Sepiolidae
Description: tRNA-Phe
Rfam family: tRNA
About the family: Transfer RNA (tRNA) molecules are approximately 80 nucleotides in length. Their secondary structure includes four short double-helical elements and three loops (D, anti-codon, and T loops). Further hydrogen bonds mediate the characteristic L-shaped molecular structure. tRNAs have two regions of fundamental functional importance: the anti-codon, which is responsible for specific mRNA codon recognition, and the 3' end, to which the tRNAs corresponding amino acid is attached (by aminoacyl-tRNA synthetases). tRNAs cope with the degeneracy of the genetic code in two manners: having more than one tRNA (with a specific anti-codon) for a particular amino acid; and 'wobble' base-pairing, i.e. permitting non-standard base-pairing at the 3rd anti-codon position.
Source: RNAcentral
AUUUAAAUAGCUUAAAUGUAGAGCAUAACGUUGAAGGUGUUAGGGUGAUUAUUUCAAUCUUUAAGUA